GUCUACGGCCAUGCCACCUUGAACAAGCCCGAUAUCUGAUCUUGUGAAGCUAAGCAGGGUUGGGCCUGGUUAGUACUGGGAUGGGAGACCACCUAGGAAGACCAGGUGCUGUAGACA
This 117-nucleotide ribosomal RNA is filed under the name Pteropus alecto (black flying fox). The record is from RNAcentral. Lineage: Eukaryota; Metazoa; Chordata; Mammalia; Chiroptera; Pteropodidae.